UGAAAAGAACUUUGAAAAGAGAGUUAAAAAGUGCGUGAAACCGUUAGAGGGGAAACGGAUGCAGUUAGCAAUGCCUCAGCGAGAUUCAGGUGGACGCCUGGUCAGACGUGUAGUGUAUGGAUCCGCAUGGACUGUCGCUGUUCGGCCUGACCUUGUGAUCAUCGCACUUCUCGUUGGGGCGCGUCAACAGCUGCUCUGUCUGAGUGACAAGGCGUCCAGGAAGGUAGGCGCGUGCUUCGGCAUGUGCUGUUAUAGCCUGUGGCGAUACUAGCUCGGACGGGGCAGAGGCGAGCGGUGCAUGCUCUUCUUCGGAGGGGCUGGCGACCUUCUCUUGAUCUUGUGUCGACCAUGGCGGACUGCUUGCAGUGCGUCUGAACUGCUCGAGGUCAUUCGGGAGGCCAACGCACACUAUGCACCUCGGUUGUUGGCGGCCAUAUGGCUUCAUCUGACCCGUCUUGAAACACGGACCAAGGAGUCUAACAUGUGCGCAAGUCUUGGGGUGACUGAAACCCGAAGGCACAAUGAAAGUAAAGGCUGCCUAGCAGCUGAGGUGAGAUCUUCGUUCUACGCGUGCGAGGCGCAUCAUCGACCGACCUAUUCUACUCUUAGAAAGGUUUGAGUAAGAGCGCAUCUGUUGGGACC
Molecule: ribosomal RNA, 642 nt
Filed under: Mawia benovici
Lineage: Eukaryota; Metazoa; Cnidaria; Scyphozoa; Semaeostomeae; Pelagiidae
Description: partial 28S ribosomal RNA
Rfam family: Eukaryotic large subunit ribosomal RNA
Source: RNAcentral